Molecule: long non-coding RNA, 1040 nt
Organism: Nicotiana attenuata
Lineage: Eukaryota; Viridiplantae; Streptophyta; Magnoliopsida; Solanales; Solanaceae
Exons: 3
Source: RefSeq, a predicted model, not a curated record
CUAAUCAAAAUUGGGUGGCGCCAAAAAAGAAACCAACUACAUCUUCUUCUUUUUCUUCUCCUCCUCUCUCUCCCCAACCAUAUUAUACGGUUAAUUAACGUAUCGUCGCCGGAAAAUUAACGGCGGCUAUCGUCCGGCGGCGACUUUGAUGAUCACUGCUAAUGUGUCGGUUUGAUUAUUUAAUUAAUUACUGGAGUUGGGUGUGGGAGAGAAGGAACAAGACAGAGGGGCUGUGACUAUCUGUGUAAUAUAUCCAGCUUGGCUGACCAUGGCACUCCCGUGAGAGGGAUAAAAGGUUGUUGUUGGGGCCACAGGGAAAGAGAAGGGUCAAAAAGAAGGAAAAAGCAAAAUUAGGAAUGGGAAGGAAAGAGAUACAAAAAGAAAAAGAAAAAAUUACCAAAAGUUAUGGUCCACCAAUGGUAAAUACCCUUUCGUUCUUAACUAGAAAUUUCGAGUUUAAGCCAUGCAAAUAGAGUCGUCAUUGAUAGGAAGCAACUAUACCUCCAAAGUGGAAUUUUUUGGUAUGAAUUUGAAUUGAUCGGGUCUCAAUGUGUGUAUUGGACAUCCGGUGGAAAAGUUAAAAAAAAAUAAAAAAUAAAAAAAGAAGGGUAAAAAAAAAUGUAAAUGAGAGAAGCUUUUCUUGUCCUGUGCAUCAUUUUCUAGUCCUAUUUCUUAUCCUAUACCCACCCCAUCUCCCACUAUACUUCCCCAUUUCGAGGGAAGAGGUUAAUAUAACCUCUUUCUCUUUCUUUAACAAGCAUACAAUUGUUAAAUUUUUUUCUCUGCGUGCCAAUGUACAUUCUUGUCUUGAUAAUAAUACUGAUUUGGCAAAUAUUAGCAUAGGGGUUCCUCUUUUAAUUGAGUUCUUGACAUUUGCUUGAUCUACCUGGUUUUGGGUAUUGAUCAUUGUGAUUAUAGAACAAGAAUUUGCAAUUUAUUGGCUGGGAUUCUAAUAUUGAUUUUUCUUCAGAUCUGGGUGCCUGUAAAGAUAUUUACAGCUGAGAAAAGGAUCUUACUUUAUUGGUCAUUGGUGUGUAAUU